RNAcentral lists this ribosomal RNA (253 nucleotides) under uncultured bacterium. RNAcentral's name for it is "partial 16S ribosomal RNA". It matches the Rfam family "Bacterial small subunit ribosomal RNA", at positions 524 to 776 of the family's 1533-position model. The record is from RNAcentral.
GACAGAGGGUGCAAACGUUGUUCGGAAUUACUGGGCAUAAAGAGCACGUAGGUGGUGCGCUAAGUCACGUGUGAAAUCCCCCGGCUCAACCGGGGAAUGGCGCGUGAUACUGGCGGACUCGAGGCGGGUAGGGGUGAGCGGAACUCCAGGUGGAGCGGUGAAAUGCAUUGAGAUCGGAAAGAACACCAACGGCGAAAGCACUCUGCUGGGCCGACACUGACACUGAGAGACGAAAGCUAGGGGAGCAAAUGGG